RNAcentral lists this ribosomal RNA (301 nucleotides) under uncultured bacterium. RNAcentral describes it as "partial 16S ribosomal RNA". It matches the Rfam family "Bacterial small subunit ribosomal RNA", at positions 509 to 807 of the family's 1533-position model. The record is from RNAcentral.
CAGCAGCCGCGGUAAUACGAAGGGGGCUAGCGUUGUUCGGAAUUACUGGGCGUAAAGCGCACGUAGGCGGAUAUUUAAGUCAGGGGUGAAAUCCCGCAGCUCAACUGCGGAACUGCCUUUGAUACUGGGUAUCUUGAGUAUGGAAGAGGUUAGUGGAAUUGCGAGUGUAGAGGUGAAAUUCGUAGAUAUUCGCAGGAACACCAGUGGCGAAGGCGGCUAACUGGUCCAUAACUGACGCUGAGGUGCGAAAGCGUGGGGAGCAAACAGGAUUAGAUACCCCGGUAGUCCCUGUCUCUUAUAC